This 464-nucleotide ribosomal RNA is filed under the name uncultured bacterium. Its description in RNAcentral is "partial 16S ribosomal RNA". It matches the Rfam family "Bacterial small subunit ribosomal RNA", at positions 28 to 507 of the family's 1533-position model. The record is from RNAcentral.
GACGAACGCUGGCGGCGUGCUUAACACAUGCAAGUCGAACGGAAAGGCCCUUUUGGGGGUCCUUGAGUGGCGAACGGGUGCGUAACACGUGAGUAACCUGCCCUUGACUUCGGGAUAACUUCAGGAAACUGGGGCUAAUACCGGAUAGGAAUCCUUGCUGCAUGGUGGGGGUUGGAAAGCUUCGGCGGCUUUGGAUGGACUCGCGGCUUAUCAGCUUGUUGGUGGGGUAGUGGCUUACCAAGGCAUUGACGGGUAGCCGGCCUGAGAGGGGGAACGGCCACAUUGGGACUGAGAUACGGCCCAGACGCCUACGGGAGGCAGCAGUGGGGAAUAUUGCACAAUGGGCGGAAGCCUGAUGCAGCAACGCCGCGUGCGGGAUGACGGCCUUCGGGUUGUAAACCGCUUUCAGCAGGGGCGAAGCUUUUGUGACGGUACCUGCAGAAGAAGCACCGGCUAACUACGUG